Molecule: long non-coding RNA, 601 nt
Organism: Mya arenaria
Lineage: Eukaryota; Metazoa; Mollusca; Bivalvia; Myida; Myidae
Exons: 3
Source: RefSeq, a predicted model, not a curated record
UGCUUGCUUUGAAUUUUAAAUUGCCUGUAAUGUUAUAUUCAUAUUGGUUUAUUAUUCUAUGUGAAAGGAAUUCUAUGCAAGUAGAAUAUUAAAAAGAGGAAUAAGCACUAUGUAAUCUUUGUGUACUAAACACUUUAAGAUUCAACAGAUCGUUAAUACUGGCAAAACAGAUUUUUUCCUCUGAAUAUUUGCACAGAGAAGAUCUCUUCAACUAUGGGAAUUAAAGAUGAUGAAAAACUGGUUGUCUCUCAGUCAUUCAGAAUUUAAUUAGCUGCCAGGGAGCAAUUAUCAUCAAAAGCAGUUGAUGUCAAAGAUAUCAGCUCAUACAUUAACCGACAGGGCUCCUUAACAGACAGUGAAAGGCAUCAUGUCCUGAAGAAAGACUGGGUUCCACAGUUUGAGUUCACAAAGACACAAUGUGGCCAACUUUGUUCUUUGCUGUCUCCCAAGGAUUCAUGUAUACUGAUAUGUAAAGAAAUAGGAAAUCGCAUAACUAUGAGGCCAAAAAGUGUGCUGUAAUGACUUUAUAUGCUGGAAAAUUCGUCCAUUUUAAUAAUCAUAAUAAUGUGCUAUCGAGUAGCUUUCAUUAACUACAAAAAGA